AAAUGCCUUAAGUUAAAUAAACUAGUAGCCUUCAAAGCUAAAAAUAAGGCUAAGCUUUAGGCUUU
RNAcentral lists this transfer RNA (65 nucleotides) under Pseudolebinthus lunipterus. RNAcentral's name for it is "Pseudolebinthus sp. 1 RN-2019 tRNA-Trp". The record is from RNAcentral. Lineage: Eukaryota; Metazoa; Arthropoda; Insecta; Orthoptera; Gryllidae.